AACGAACGCUGGCGGCAGGCCUCAAACAUGCAAGUCUAGGGGGUGUAGCAAUACAUCACCGGCGGACGGGUGCGUAACGCGUGGGAAUGUACCUAUUGGUUCGGAACAACUGAGGGAAACUUCAGCUAAUACCGAAUGUGCCCGUAAGGGGAAAGAUUUAUCGCCAAUGGAUCAGCCCGCGUAGGAUUAGCUAGUUGGUGAGGUAAUGGCUCACCAAGGCUCCGAUCCUUAGCUGUUCUGAGAGGAAGAUCAGCCACACUGGGACUGAGACACGGCCCAGACUCCUACGGGAGGCAGCAGUUGGGAAUCUUGGACAAUGGGGGAAACCCUGAUCCAGCCAUGCCGCGUGAGUGAUGAAGGCCUUCGGUUGUAAACUAC
Molecule: ribosomal RNA, 378 nt
Filed under: uncultured bacterium
Lineage: Bacteria
Description: bacterial SSU rRNA
Rfam family: Bacterial small subunit ribosomal RNA
Source: RNAcentral